This 497-nucleotide ribosomal RNA is filed under the name uncultured bacterium. RNAcentral's name for it is "partial 16S ribosomal RNA". It matches the Rfam family "Bacterial small subunit ribosomal RNA", at positions 28 to 507 of the family's 1533-position model. The record is from RNAcentral.
GAUGAACGCUGGCGGCGUGCCUAACACAUGCAAGUCGAACGAACGCACGAGAAGCUGGCUUCCCUGAUGUUAGCGGCGGACGGGUGAGUCACACGUGGAUGACCUACCUAUAAGACUGGGAUAACUACGGGAAACUGGAGCUAAUACCGGACAAUAUUUUGAACCGCAUGGUUCAAAAGUGAAAGACGGUUUUGCUGUCACUUAUAGAUGGACCCGCGCUGCAUUAGCUAGUUGGUACGGUAACGGCUUACCAAGGCAAGGAUGCGUAGCCGACCUGAGAGGAAGAUCGGCCACACUGGAACUGAGACACGGCCCAGACUCCUACGGGAGGCAGCAGUAGGGAAUCUUCCGCAAUGGGGGAAAGCCUGACGGAGCAACGCCGCGUGAGUGAUGAAGGUCUUCGGAUCGUAAACCUCUGUUGUUAGGGAAGAACAUAUGUGUGAUUAACCGCGCAGAUCAUGACGGUACCGGAUGAAUAAGCCCCGGCUAACUACGUG